This 772-nucleotide ribosomal RNA is filed under the name uncultured marine bacterium. Its description in RNAcentral is "bacterial SSU rRNA". It matches the Rfam family "Bacterial small subunit ribosomal RNA", at positions 14 to 794 of the family's 1533-position model. The record is from RNAcentral.
UGAUCCUGGCUCAGGACGAACGCUGGCGGUGCGCCUUAUGCAUGCAAGUUGAGCGAAGCUUUUCAGUAGUUUACUACAGAAAAUGACUGAGCGGCGAACGGGUGGGUAACGCGUGAGCAAUCUACCUUAGUUACUGGGAUAGCCCGAGGAAACUCGGAUUAAUACCGGAUAUUCUUAUUUUUUCACAUGAAGUUUUAAGGAAAGGUCAGCCGAACUAAGAUGAGCUCGCGUUCUAUCAGCUAGUUGGUGGGGUAAAAGCCUACCAAGGCAACGACGGAUAGCUGGUCUGAGAGGACGAUCAGCCACACUGGGACUGAGACACGGCCCAGACUCCUACGGGAGGCUGCAGCAGGGAAUAUUGUGCAAUGAGCGAAAGCUUGACACAGCGACACCGCGUGUGGGAUGACGGUUCUAGGAUUGUAAACCACUUUCAGGAGGGAAGAAAAUGACGGUACCUCCACAAGAAGACCCGGCCAACUAUGUGCCAGCAGCCGCGGUAAUACAUAGGGGUCAAGCGUUGUCCGGAUUUAUUGGGCGUAAAGAGCUCGUAGGCGGUUCAACAAGUCGGUCGUAAAAGUUUAGGGCUCAACCCUAAAAUGUCGAUCGAUACUGUUGUGACUAGGAUACGGUAGAGGUGAAUGGAAUUCCGAGUGUAGCGGUGAAAUGCGUAGACAUUCGGAGGAACACCAAUUGCGAAGGCAGUUCACUGGACCGUGAUCGACGCUGAGGAGCGAAAGCUAGGGGAGCAAACAGGAUUAGAUACCCUGGUAGU